Molecule: long non-coding RNA, 3676 nt
Filed under: Equus caballus (horse)
Lineage: Eukaryota; Metazoa; Chordata; Mammalia; Perissodactyla; Equidae
Description: lncRNA (ENSECAG00000046951.1)
Source: RNAcentral
CUUGCCUGUGGCACUUGGCGCCCUCUCUGUGACUGUGUGUGUGUGUUCCGUCGCUGUCCUGCAAGGUCCUCACAGUGUCCCGGUGGAGGGCCCAGGGGUGACGUUGGUGAGUUUUUCUUCUUGCAAGAGGAGAGGCACUGUGGCAGUGAAGGGAAAGCAAUGGCUGGUCACGGACCACAUGCCUGGAGGUACCCCUCGCUCCCGGGCAUGCUCAGCUUGGCUCCGGCUCCAGAAGGUGUGUGGGCUUCAUCACGCAGGUGUUGCGGGGAAUGGAUGAGUCCGCUGGUGGGAAGCGCUCUGUAAGAUGGAAGCUUUGGAAGCUCCCCCACCAGACCCAUUUCUGGAUCCAUGGACCUCUUCCACCCGGGGGUGCUGGUUGAGAAUCCAGAGAAGGAGGCCCCGAGCCCUCACUGCACACGGAUGGCCUUCCUCCUCCUCUGGGUGCUCCAUCCCUGUGGGAGGCAGCCAGGACCAGGACUCAGGCCCUCCUUAGGAUGCCUACACUGUGGGCUUUGGGGCCAGGCGCCUAGCCAGGGGCUGUGCAGGAAGCAGAGAAUCCUCUGUACCCCAGAUGUAUUGGUUUUCCCCACGUCGAGCAAUUCAACGACCCCAGCUGGGGAGCCUACGAUUUAACUCAAUUCUGACAGUAUCUACCUGGAGGGCGUUUCUCCAGAAGAUUGACGCGUAACAGACAGAGGCUGCCAGUGGCCCACCGGUUCCCACCCCCUCUCCUCCUUAGCAACAGAAACCUGGGCAGCUGGAUGAAGCCAAAGGACUAAGAUCUGGCCAGUGAGAUGUGAGCAGAAGUUGCUAGCAUGAUGGGCAGAAACGAAGAAGGAGCUUGGGUGCCUGACGAGGGAGUCGCCACCAUUCCCACCCUGGACGGCCAACCUCUAAACUUCUUUCCUGGCAGAACAACCCCUUGUGACACGAGUUUGAGACUCUGUGGUCGUCUCUGAAGUUGUCAGCUUAGACUGCUAUAAGGAAAUAUUCCAGACUGGGUGGUUUAGACAAUAGAUCUUUGUUUCUCACAGUUCUGGAAGGUGGGAAGUCCAAGAUCGAGGUGCUAGCAGAUUUGCUUCUUGGUGAGGGCUCUCUUCCUGGUUUGCAGAGGCUACCUUCUCAAGUGUCCUCACAUGGUGGAGGGAAAAGGAGAGGGGAAGAGAGAGAGCGGGAACUCGGAUCUCUCUUUCUCUUCUUAUGAGGGCACUAAUCCUCUUCACGUCCUACUCAGCUCCCAAAGGCCCCGCCUCCAAAUCCUUUCACACUGGGGGUUGAAGUCUCAACAUGUGAAUUUUGGGGGGACACAAAUCUUCAGCCCAUAACAGCCCACAGCCAAACCCAAUUGUAAUGGGUACUCACCCUUUAUUAUCCCUCAUCUGAAACAACGAUCACAACGGAUCCUUCCCAGAACUCCGUGUGCUCUCCAUUCACUGCCCUGUCUCUCUCUCCCAUUUCUUUCUCAAAUGUCCUAUAAAUUGAAAGGACUCAUGGCCUCCACCUGCACACCUUCCACGUGCUCCUGGUCCAAGCUGGCAUUGACCUCCACCCGAGGACUCAUGCCUGAACGUGAGCAUCCUCUGUGAUCCAACCCUCUCUCUCACCUCCUCCAUCCAAUCCGCCACCAAGUCCCACGGUCCAGCUUCCAGAACAUUCCUCGCAUCUAUCUGCUUCUCUCCAUCUCCAUGACCACUGCCUGCAUCUCACACUUGGCCUUCAGGAAGUGCUUCUCUCAGGUUCUGGUGUCCACUCUUUUCUCACUACCCUGCAGAACAAAUCAGCUAUUCACUCAUGAACAGGUCAUGCCCCUCCCCUGCUUAGAACCCCUCACAGCCUCCCAUCGCUCUCAGAAAUAUGGCCUACAGGCUGCUGCGUGGGUGCCCGCCAUGAACUCAGCAGCUGCAUCUCCCCUCCCUCUCUGCAAGGCAGAGCCCACGUCAGGCUCUUCCUGUUCCUCCAGCGCCCCACACUCAGCCUCAGGCUGUCCACAUGACCACGGGCUCUGCUGAAGUGCCCUGGCCCCCACUUUCCUCCUGCCUAGCCCCUGCUCCUUCUACGUCCCAACUUAGAUGUCACUUGUCAGGCAGCCUGCCUACAACCUCAUUCCAGUAGGUAAGAUUCUGCCUAUUACAUGUCAAUAGCAUCCCAUGGAAUUGUGAUCAAUUCACCAGGUGUGUGAUUUUCUGAUUAAUAUCCACCUACCCCACCAGGUGUGAGCUUCCUUGGGUGGGGACAAUGCCUAGACAAGGCCUGGCACACAGCAGGUGCUUAGCAAGUGCUUGCUGAAUGCAUGAAAGCAUUCUUAAAUAUAGGAAAAUUGAGGGUCAGAGAGAGGAAGGACCAGCCUGAGGUCCCAGAGUCCACGCCCAGCACAGCUGUGAUUGGGAUCCAGGUCUCCUGGACCCAAGGCAGCCACUCUUGGUGAGUCAUCCACAUCCCUGAGAGCAGGAAGAGGAGAGGGUGGAUGGGGGAUCCAAAGGACUCCGUCUCUGAUUGGAGGUGAGGCCAGCAGGGGAGAGAAGAGGCGAGAAACCCAGGCUCCUGGCUCAGGAUUUGGGUGGAGAGGGCACUGGAGGUGUGAGGCUUGGGUAAGGGUAAGGUGGUCCUGGCGGGAGCUGUGGGCUAACACAAGACACCCACAGGUGGCUGGAUACACAAGGACAGGGUCUGCGGGCAGGGAUGAUUGGGGCUGGCAGCCAGGAGGAGGGGGCUGAGCUGCUGUGAGGAGAAGCGUCAGGGAACAUGCAAAGACUUGAGGCUCUGAAACUGUGACCACCGCCUCUGCGGGGCUGGCAUUGCUGCCAGGCCGUGUCUCAACACUUUUUCGACUCCUGAAAACUUAAAGGGAGAAAUAUCCAGUUCUCUUCAAGCAGACAGCUAAGCCGAAAAGUCAGGUGGGGACUGCAGCACCAGCAGAAAACAGCUCUCAGGGAGAAUUCUCUUACUUCUGGUCAAGCCUACUCAGAUUGUAAGUUCACCCUUUUAAGCCUCUGAAGGACCUGAGCCCAGAUUAGGUCAAAGGACGUAUUGCGGGCCCUGUCUGUGUGAAGCUCUCUAAUUACACAUUUACAGAAUAAUCCAAAUGUUUUCAAGUUUGACUGACGUUCAACCUUGCAGGUCAUUGCACACAGGGCAUCCACUUGCAUCUAUAGAAUCCCACAGAAACACUCUUUCCCAAGCUUUUGGGACUGGUAUUGGUUUAGUUCAACCAAAAGUUGAUUAAAGUGAAAAAUUAUUUUUAAAAAUUCAAACAUAGCUUAAAAUUUUUAUUUUUAACUUAAAUCAUACAGAGGUACCCUCUCCAGUCGACUUGGACGCAGGGGCAGAGCCUUCUCUGGGCACGGGUCAUGUGGCAUGAGUGAGGAUCACUUCCUUGCAUCAGCAGCACCCCUGUGGCUCCUACUUCCUGCUUUUUUCGAGUCUAAGGAGAGCUGGAGCCAUGCGUGAAAUCAGCCGAGGGCAAGCUCCGCAUAGAUUUUCAUCAUUUUUUCUGUGGCUCUCUUACAGAUGUCUUUCCCAUGUAUGCUACUUAUCUAUUGCUGGGUAACAAAUUAUUUCAGCACUUAGUACCUUGAAGCAACAAUAGUCUUUCACUGUCCCUGCUGGGGUCUGUGGCCAGAAAUUCGGGAGCCACUGGACCGUACAGGCCUGCGCAGGGUUCCUCGAGAGGCUGCAG